AGCUCCAGUAGCGUAUAUUAAAGUUGUUGCAGUUAAAAAGCUCGUAGUUGGAUUUCUGGUUAGCGCGUCUAGCCCGCUUCUUUUAUGUUGUGUGUGCUGGUAUGCGCUUGCCAUCCUGCCAGAAUACCGUUUCUGUCCUUAACUGGUCUGGAUUCGGGGUCUGGCUCUUUUACUUUGAAAAAAUUAGAGUGUUUAAAGCAGGCUUCGCUAUGAAUACAUUAGCAUGGAAUAAUGAUCUAGGACUUUGGUUCUAUUUUGUUGGUUUCUAGUACUGAAGUAAUGAUUGAUAGGGAUAGUUGGGGGUGCUAGUAUUGGCCGGCCAGAGGUGAAAUUCUUGGAUUCGGUCAAGACUAACUUAUGCGAAAGCAUUCACCAAGGAUGUCUUCUUUA
This 390-nucleotide ribosomal RNA is filed under the name Protaspa sp. RNAcentral's name for it is "partial small subunit ribosomal RNA". It matches the Rfam family "Eukaryotic small subunit ribosomal RNA", at positions 587 to 975 of the family's 1831-position model. The record is from RNAcentral. Lineage: Eukaryota; Cercozoa; Thecofilosea; Cryomonadida; Protaspidae.